CAGCCGCCACGGGAAUACGGAGGGCGCGAGCGUUACCCGGAUUUACUGGGCGUAAAGGGCGUGUAGGCGGCCUGGGGCGUCCCAUGUGAAAGGCCACGGCUCAACCGUGGAGGAGCGUGGGAUACGCUCAGGCUAGAGGGUGGGAGAGGGUGGUGGAAUUCACGGAGUAGCGGUGAAAUGCGCAGAUACCGGGAGGAACGCCGAUGGCGAAGGCAGCCACCUGGUCCACUUCUGACGCUGAGGCGCGAAAGCGUGGGGAGCAAACCGGAUUAGAUACCCCCGUAGUCCCUGUCUCUUAUAC
Molecule: ribosomal RNA, 301 nt
Filed under: uncultured bacterium
Lineage: Bacteria
Description: partial 16S ribosomal RNA
Rfam family: Bacterial small subunit ribosomal RNA
Source: RNAcentral